UGCUGCCGGGAGGCGGGGUACGCCGUGGACUGGUCGCCAGCCAACGUCAGGAUGACAAUUUUGUGGCGAGUGUAAAUUGGGACCCAAACGCAGCACAGCUGGAACAUUGCUAAGGUCAGGUCAAGGCCAGCGUACACUGCAGUUAACCGCAGUCCAGAGGGUCAGGCUUUGAAGAUCGACCUCAGUCAGUAUUUGAAAAAUAUGACUGACUUUAUUUUCGUAUACCAUUUAAAGUGCAACUACACACCACCAUCAUCAUCAUAAACAUGGAAACAUACAGCAACUAACGCAGGCGCUCAAGAGUCAAUUCAAGGCAGACGUUCGCUGGUACCGUCGAGCAGACGAGGGCCAUGAUGAAGAUGGUGAAGAAGAGGAUGUAAAAGCACUCCUGCCUCCGCGCGUGCUCCCGUGGCGCCCCCUGCAGGACCUUCUUCUACACACACACACACACAAACGCAAUAUUAAGUAUAGUGAGAUACAAAUAAUAAUAGUAUCAUUCCUGGACUGUUGGGUAAGCAAAUGGAGCGCACCUUUUCUGGAAACGACAUGACAAAAUGCAGUUUCUGGCAAAGGUGCGCUCCAUUCGAUUAUCCGCACGGCCGUGUUGUUUCAGAGAACGAUAGUAACCCCACAAAUGAGUAUUUUGUGUGCGCGUAGCGAUUACGUUGCCACUAAUGAAUGUUUUGUGGAGAUAAAUUAGUAUUAGUAUUA
This is a long non-coding RNA of Phyllopteryx taeniolatus (common seadragon), 711 nucleotides long. RefSeq lists it as uncharacterized. The transcript is spliced from 2 exons. NCBI's taxonomy places the organism in Eukaryota, Metazoa, Chordata, Actinopteri, Syngnathiformes, Syngnathidae. The record is from RefSeq and is a predicted model, not a curated record.